AUGGCUUGGGGUCAGCUUGCUGGAAGACCCGCAAUAGGGUUCCUGUCUCGUGCUCAACAGCUGGCUGCUCAAAGGUUUACUUCUGCGACAUUCCAAACUAAUCCGUUGAGCGAUCAUCUUCCAGAAGAUGGCAUGUUUCGUAGGAGCUUUAGCUUAGCGGUGCCUGCUUCAGAGCAAAUGAACCUCAUUAAGCAACUCCGAGAAAGAACGUGUGCUCCGAUCAAAGAUGUCAAGGCUUCGUUAGUUAGUUGUGACUGGGAUAUUGAGGCCGCACAGGUGGAUCUAAGGAAGAGAGGGGUGAUUCUUGCUGCCAAAAAGUCAUCACGGACUGCUGCCGAAGGUUUGCUUGCUAUGGCAGGAGAUGAUAAAAGGGCUGUUGUGGUUGAGCUAAACUGUGAGACCGACUUUGUAGCAAGAAAUGAUGUUUUCCAGUAUCUGGCUUCAUCCUUGGCAAAGAUGGCUCUGUCAGCUCAGGAUCCCGGGAAAUCAGUUUUUCCUUUUGCUCCUGCAUAUUUGGAGAGCAUGAGUAUUAACCUAGAUCAUCCUAAACUCAGUGGUGAAACAACUGUUCGGAAUGCUGUUACGGAAGUUGCUGCCAUGGUUGGGGAGAACGUAAAACUUAGAAGAGGUUUCAUGUUGUCCACGACUGCACAUGGUGUUGUUUCAUCUUAUCUGCAUACCUGUCCUCAGCCAGAUCUGGGUCGCGUUGCUGGAUUGGUCACUUUAGAAGCAGAAGAUAGCAGUGCUCCCCUUGACGCUCUCAAGAGAGUUGGGUCAUCUAUCGCAAUGCAUAUUGUUGCAGCAAGGCCAUUAUUCUUAUCAAAGGAACUGGUUUCUGCUGCAGCUGUGGAAAAUGAACGUGAUGUGCUCCGAACUCAGGCUGAAAGAUCAGGUAAACCCCAAAUGGCCAUAGAGAAAAUGGUGGAAGGCCGAUUGAGGAAGUAUUUCGAAGAAGCUGUGCUUUUGGAGCAAAAGUACGUCGUUAAUGACAGCACAAACAUUAAGACGCUGCUGAGUGAUUUGUCCAAGGAGGUUGGCUGUAAAGUAACGAUUGGCAACUUUGCCAGAAUGGAAGUCGGGGAAGGAAUCGAGAGACCUGAAGAAUGA
Molecule: ribosomal RNA, 1107 nt
Filed under: Triticum aestivum (bread wheat)
Lineage: Eukaryota; Viridiplantae; Streptophyta; Magnoliopsida; Poales; Poaceae
Description: partial small subunit ribosomal RNA
Source: RNAcentral